Non-coding RNA from Schizosaccharomyces pombe (fission yeast), 301 nucleotides. The record is from the annotation of a GenBank genome assembly. NCBI's taxonomy places the organism in Eukaryota, Fungi, Ascomycota, Schizosaccharomycetes, Schizosaccharomycetales, Schizosaccharomycetaceae.
GCAUACUCACUUUUACUUACCUUAAACUUAACAAGUUCGAGGUACGCUUUUGGAAGUCGUUUUAGAUACUUUUAGGCAAGGUCCCGAGCUUUGUUGAUUAUACGUUGACUAUUUGGAAGAUAUGUUGAAGUUGAGAAUCACACAGUGAGUUGGUACAGUAUAUAUACGAAUUGUGGGGUAGUGCUUACACUCAAUAUAAGGUUGUAGCAUUACGCAAUCGAUCUCAACGGGCAUUAAAGAUCGAACGCCGAUUUGUCAAGAACGACGACUGGCUAAAAUAGCAAACCGCAGGACAGUGCAA